CUUAGGUCAGCGGCGGACGGGUGAGUAACACGUGGGUAACCUGCCGGAAAACUGGGAUAACUCCGGGAAACCGGGGCUAAUACGGGAGGUUUGAUUGACCGCUGGGUCCAAAUUGAAGGGGGGCUUUGCUGUCACUUAAGGAUGGACCCGCGUCGCAUUAGCUAGUUGGUGAGGUAACGGCUCACCAAGGCAACAAUGCGUAGCCGACCUGAGAGGGGGAUCGGCCACACUGGGACUGAGACACGGCCCCCACUCCUACGGGAGGCGGCAGUAGGGAAUCUUCUCCAAUGGACAAAAGUCUGACAGAGCAACGCCCCGUGAGUGAUGAAGGCUUUCGGGUCGUAAAACUCUGUUGUUAGGGAAGAACAAGUGCUAUUUGAAUAAUAUGGCACCUUGACGGUACCUAACCACAAAGCCACGGCUAACUACUUGCCAGCAGCCGCCGUAAUACUUAGGUGGUAAGCGUUAUCCGGAAUUAUUGUUGGUCAAGCAGGCGCAGGUGGCUUCUU
This 509-nucleotide ribosomal RNA is filed under the name bacterium. Its description in RNAcentral is "bacterial SSU rRNA". It matches the Rfam family "Bacterial small subunit ribosomal RNA", at positions 86 to 584 of the family's 1533-position model. The record is from RNAcentral.